This 497-nucleotide ribosomal RNA is filed under the name uncultured bacterium. RNAcentral's name for it is "partial 16S ribosomal RNA". It matches the Rfam family "Bacterial small subunit ribosomal RNA", at positions 28 to 507 of the family's 1533-position model. The record is from RNAcentral.
GAUGAACGCUGGCGGCGUGCCUAAUACAUGCAAGUCGAGCGAACAGACGAGGAGCUUGCUCCUCUGACGUUAGCGGCGGACGGGUGAGUAACACGUGGAUAACCUACCUAUAAGACUGGGAUCACUUCGGGAAACCGGAGCUAAUACCGGAUAAUAUAUUGAACCGCAUGGUUCAAUAGUGAAAGACGGUUUUGCUGUCACUUCUAGCUGGAUCCGCGCCGCAUUAGCUAGUUGGUAAGGUAACGGCUUACCAAGGCAACGAUGCGUAGCCGACCUGAGAGAGUGAUCGGCCACACUGGAACUGAGACACGGUCCAGACUCCUACGGGAGGCAGCAGUAGGGAAUCUUCCGCAAUGGGCGAAAGCCUGACGGAGCAACGCCGCGUGAGUGAUGAAGGUCUUCGGAUCGUAAAACUCUGUUAUUAGGGAAGAACAAAUGUGUAAGUAACUAUGCACGUCUUGACGGUACCUAAUCAGAAAGCCACGGCUAACUACGUG